Molecule: ribosomal RNA, 300 nt
Filed under: uncultured Bacillus sp.
Lineage: Bacteria; Bacillati; Bacillota; Bacilli; Caryophanales; Bacillaceae
Description: bacterial SSU rRNA
Rfam family: Bacterial small subunit ribosomal RNA
Source: RNAcentral
GCGAACGUCUGGCCAGGGGCGGAGGUAGUACGAAGGUGGCGAGAGUUAGUCGGGAGUGACGGGCGGAAAGGGGGCGUCGGCGGUUAUUUAAGUCUGCCGUGAAAUCCCCGGGCUCAAGCUGGGAAUGGCGGUGGAUACUGGAUAGCUAGAGUGGGACAGAGGAUGGUGGAAUUCCCGGUGUAGCGGUGAAAUGCGUAGAGAUCGGGAGGAACAUCAGUGGCGAAGGCGGCCAUCUGGGACAACACUGACGCUGAAGCACGAAAGCGUGGGGAGCAAACAGGAUUAGAUACCCCUGUAGUC